CAGGCUGUUACUGAGAUCCUUCAGCAUCGGAGACCACAAACCCUUUAACUCGUCGUGGGUCCACCAGGAACUGGGAAGACUGCUACCUUGGAUGAGGUGGUUCUUCAAGUUGCAAGGAACCAUGUGGAGGACACCCCUCUCGAUGCACUGUAAGUGUUUGUCUUUCUAAAUGGCUCAGUAUACAAUCUAAUGCUCUCCAGGAUUUACUACGUUCUUCCGAUAAACUUGGGAGUCAAGGCCACUGCCGACAGGCUUCUUAAAAUUGGAUUCAAGCCAGACGAGGUGAUCGCGCUGUAUUCCGAGACGGAACAUCUGAGGGGGACAAAUUUGGCCACUGGAAUGUCCCAGCGCGCGUACCGGGUGAAUCACCUGCCGACAUCCUGCGUUGUGAUUGGCACCCCAAUCUCCAUUGCGCGGAUUGGUCAUACUUUUGGCGAGAGCAACCCACCAUCACUCCUCGUGCUAGAUGAGGCCGCUUACAUGAAGAUCAGUGAGGCCUUCGCCCUCAUGACCUGCAACGGCGAGGCGGUCCAGACAAUCCUCGCCGGGGACCGGAAGCAGCUGAGGCCCCGUUCAUUUAGCAAGAUCGCCGAGUCUCUUCAUGGCAAAUUUAGUAUCUUCGACCUGACAGCAGAAAACGGUUAUUUCAAGGAUGAUGGGAUGAGGCCAAAGGUAGGACUGGGGGUGAUGCUCUGAGAAAAUUACCGGGCGCAUGAAAAUUUGGUGAAGGGUGUUUCAACACUUUCUUACGAAGGACUCAUGUUCCCUGCACCAGUCUCGGCAAUCAGUCACAGCUUGAUUUUGCUGCGCCAUGGACUCAAGACACUUGGACUUGACGCUGACAGGAAUCCCCUCCGCUGGGUCAACGCCAAUGGACUAAUGGAGCGGGAUGUGAUGACAUCCUCAUUGUUCAACCUCGAGGAGGCUGAUGUGGUGGCCUCUGUGGUAUCCUCCCUCUUCCGUUCCAUCCCCCCGAAUCAGAUUAUGGUGCUGGCUCCAUACAGGAAGCAGGUUGUUGUGCUCCGGGAGAAGCUGCCGUCCACCGUCACUACGUUCACUGUCGACGAGGUGAUUGGCCAGGUACGGCCAGUGGUCGACGUGUCCCUCGUCCGCAGUGAACGUAGUGGGCCCAACGCGAAGAACCAUGGGGUAGGAUUCCUCAAGGAGCCGAACAGGGUCAACGUUCUCAUUUGCCGUGCUAAGGAGAUCGUGAUCCCGGUCGGCUCCAGGAACCACUUCCACAACAGCCGCAUCAGCUUCUAGCGCAUCCUGAGGACCCA
Molecule: RNA transcript, 1280 nt
Organism: Cloeon dipterum
Lineage: Eukaryota; Metazoa; Arthropoda; Insecta; Ephemeroptera; Baetidae
Gene name: putative helicase MOV-10
Exons: 5
Source: RefSeq, a predicted model, not a curated record